UGGCGCAGUUGGUAGAGCAUGGUGUUUGCAACGCCAGGGUUGUGGGUUCGAUUCCCAC
RNAcentral lists this transfer RNA (58 nucleotides) under Salmo salar (Atlantic salmon). It matches the Rfam family "tRNA", at positions 8 to 63 of the family's 71-position model. From Rfam's summary of the family: Transfer RNA (tRNA) molecules are approximately 80 nucleotides in length. Their secondary structure includes four short double-helical elements and three loops (D, anti-codon, and T loops). Lineage: Eukaryota; Metazoa; Chordata; Actinopteri; Salmoniformes; Salmonidae. The record is from Rfam by way of RNAcentral. RNAcentral also lists the same sequence under 1 other name.